This 395-nucleotide ribosomal RNA is filed under the name uncultured bacterium. Its description in RNAcentral is "partial 16S ribosomal RNA". It matches the Rfam family "Bacterial small subunit ribosomal RNA", at positions 523 to 918 of the family's 1533-position model. The record is from RNAcentral.
AUACGUAGGGUGCAAGCGUUAAUCGGAAUUACUGGGCGUAAAGCGUGCGCAGGCGGUUUUGUAAGACAGUGGUGAAAUCCCCGGGCUCAACCUGGGAACUGCCAUUGUGACUGCAAGGCUGGAGUGCGGCAGAGGGGGAUGGAAUUCCGCGUGUAGCAGUGAAAUGCGUAGAUAUGCGGAGGAACACCGAUGGCGAAGGCAAUCCCCUGGGCCUGCACUGACGCUCAUGCACGAAAGCGUGGGGAGCAAACAGGAUUAGAUACCCUGGUAGUCCACGCCCUAAACGAUGUCAACUGGUUGUUGGGGAUUUAGUUUCUCAGUAACGAAGCUAACGCGUGAAGUUGACCGCCUGGGGAGUACGGCCGCAAGGUUAAAACUCAAAGGAAUUGACGGGG